This 594-nucleotide ribosomal RNA is filed under the name Pediococcus acidilactici. RNAcentral's name for it is "bacterial SSU rRNA". It matches the Rfam family "Bacterial small subunit ribosomal RNA", at positions 39 to 588 of the family's 1533-position model. The record is from RNAcentral. Lineage: Bacteria; Bacillati; Bacillota; Bacilli; Lactobacillales; Lactobacillaceae.
GCGGGGUGCUUAAUACAUGCAAGUCGAACGAACUUCCGUUAAUUGAUUAUGACGUGCUUGCACUGAAUGAGAUUUUAAUACGAAGUGAGUGGCGGACGGGUGAGUAACACGUGGGUAACCUGCCCAGAAGCAGGCGAUAACACCUGGAAACAGAUGCUAAUACCGUAUAACAGAGAAAACCGCCUGGUUUUCUUUUAAAAGAUGGCUCUGCUAUCACUUCUGGAUGGACCCGCGGCGCAUUAGCUAGUUGGUGAGGUAACGGCUCACCAAGGCGAUGAUGCGUAGCCGACCUGAGAGGGUAAUCGGCCACAUUGGGACUGAGACACGGCCCAGACUCCUACGGGAGGCAGCAGUAGGGAAUCUUCCACAAUGGACGCAAGUCUGAUGGAGCAACGCCGCGUGAGUGAAGAAGGGUUUCGGCUCGUAAAGCUCUGUUGUUAAAGAAGAACGUGGGUGAGAGUCACUGUUCACCCUGUGAUGGUAUUUAACCAGAAAGCCACUCCUAUCUACGUGCCAGCCCCCGCGGAAAUACGUAGGUGGCAAGCGUUAUCCAGAUUUAUUGGGCGUAAAGCGAGCGCAGGCGGUCUUUUAAGU